RNAcentral lists this long non-coding RNA (1078 nucleotides) under Physcomitrium patens. RNAcentral's name for it is "long non-coding RNA (PPAT_LNC014855)". The record is from RNAcentral. Lineage: Eukaryota; Viridiplantae; Streptophyta; Bryopsida; Funariales; Funariaceae.
CUGGAGUCUACUUUGAUGCUACAUCUGUUGAGUUUCGUAAAGUUUCUGUAAAGUUUUGCUGGGAGCCAUAAGCUCGAGCCUCACAUCCAGUGAUGGUGCUACCACACUCCGAUGGUCGUCUCAUUCCUCACCAAUGAUAAAUGAUUAGUUGGAUGAAAUCAGAUACGUCCUGUUCACAUCUGACACAAGAUGGGAGGGGCAGAGGGGCCUAAUUUUAUAGUGACCCGACCAUUGACCUUGAUGUGGAGCAGAGCCCAUGGCUCCCAGCUUGCAGCCUGAUGAUUCCAAAUCAAACCGGAUGCCACCACCUCCACUUCGAAAGAAUCUCAACAACCACAAGUACGAACCGCAACUGUAAAUAGUGGUACUUCAUUUCCAAUCCCUAAUUAGCGGCUAAAUUUCUCUUCUUUUUCCUUUCUUUUUCUUAUGUUUUAGGAUUUUUAUCCUUAUUUUUGCCCAACUUGAGUACCCUAAAUCCGAAACCGUAACAUCUGGUACAUUCAGAGGGUCAAGCGUAACUUACAUCCCUGUGUUACUCGGCAGCAAACAGUUGGUGGCAAGCAUACUCUGCAACUUGUCUUGUCUCUAUGAGACUCAGCCCUGCGCACUAAUCUUGCCUGGGUUAUUUAUAUUGCGGCAUAAUUUUGCCCCGGUUGUUUAUAAUGCGUACGAAUGCCUUCUAACAUUAUGCACCGUUAACAUUAUGCUGACAUGAAUUCAUUCCUCGCAAAUCUCUCCGACGCAGCUGCCACCACCUCAGCAAGGGCACACAGAUCUCGCACAUCGCGCAAUCUGAGGAUCCUAUGACGCAGACAACACAUCCCAUUCGAGGUAUUCUUUUCAUAGGUGCUCACUGACAAGUUGUUGUAGGAAGUCUAGACUGCUCCGAACACGCCGUGCUUUGCUAGUCCCUGGAGUAGCAUCAGUCAUGAUGUUCCCCAUGCGUGAUUCAUUUCGGAUGCCAUGUGCAGUGCUGGUGGAAGCAGUUCGAAUCAGGUGUUCAUCAUGAUGGUAAUAAUUCAUGGAGGCCAGAUGAAUGUUUUGGACAACAUGCUAUUGAGUUGGAUGUGUUUAUGCA